This 468-nucleotide ribosomal RNA is filed under the name uncultured bacterium. Its description in RNAcentral is "bacterial SSU rRNA". It matches the Rfam family "Bacterial small subunit ribosomal RNA", at positions 28 to 507 of the family's 1533-position model. The record is from RNAcentral.
GACGAAUGCUGGCGGCGUGCUUAACACAUGCAAGUCGAACGAUGAACCCGGAGCUUGCUCUGGGGGAUUAGUGGCGAAUGGGUGAGUAACACGUGGGCAAUCUGCCCCAGACACUGGGAUAACUUCGGGAAACCGAAGCUAAUACCGGAUACGACCACUUCAGGCAUCUGAUGGUGGUGGAAAGUUUUUCGGUCUGGGAUGGGCCCGCGGCCUAUCAGCUUGUUGGUGGGGUAAUGGCCUACCAAGGCGACGACGGGUAGCCGGCCUGAGAGGGCGACCGGCCACACUGGAACUGAGACACGGUCCAGACUCCUACGGGAGGCAGCAGUGGGGAAUAUUGCACAAUGGGCGCAAGCCUGAUGCAGCGACGCCGCGUGAGGGACGAAGGUCUUCGGAUUGUAAACCUCUUUCAGCAGGGACGAAGCGAAAGUGACUGUACCUGCAAAAGAAGCACCGGCUAACUACGUG